This 107-nucleotide small nucleolar RNA is filed under the name Gossypium arboreum. Its description in RNAcentral is "Plant small nucleolar RNA R71". It matches the Rfam family "Plant small nucleolar RNA R71". From Rfam's summary of the family: R71 is a member of the C/D box family of snoRNAs containing the C (UGAUGA) and D (CUGA) box motifs. Multiple nearly identical copies of this snoRNA have been identified in Arabidopsis, and it is thought to function as a 2'-O-ribose methylation guide for 18S ribosomal RNA. The record is from Rfam by way of RNAcentral. Lineage: Eukaryota; Viridiplantae; Streptophyta; Magnoliopsida; Malvales; Malvaceae.
AACCCGUGGUGAGGGUACCUUCUCAAUAAGUCCUUAUACCUCUCUCAUGUAUCGUAAAGAGUUUCUAAAUCCAUCUGCACAAAAGAAGAAAUAUCAUUCCUUAACUU